AGGGAAGACAAUCCCAAUAAAUACUGCUCCUUGACGGUACUCACCAGAAAGCACCGCCUAACUACGUGCCAGCAGCCGCGGUAAUAUUAGGGGCAAGCGUUGUCUGGAAUAUUGGGCGUAAAGCGCGCGCAGGCCGGCCUUUAAGUAUGAUGUGAAAAUCACACGGCUCAACAGUCGAGGGUCACUGGAAACUGGAGGACUUGAGUGCAGAAGAGGAAAGUGGAAUUCUAUGUGUAGCGGUGAAAUGCGUAGAGAUGUGGAGGAACACCAGUGGCGAAGGCGACUUUCUGGUCUGUAACUGACGCUGAGGCGCGAAAGCGUGGGGAGCAAACAGGAUUAGAUACCCUGGUAGUCCACGCCGUAAACGAUGAGUGCUAAGUGUUAGGGGGUGUCCGCCCCUUAGUGCUGCAGCUAACGCAUUAAGCACUCCGCCUGGGGAGUACGGCCGCAAGGCUGAAACUCAAAGGAAUUGACGGGGGCCCGCACAAGCGGUGGAGCAUGUGGUUUAAUUAGAAGCAACGCGAAGAACCUUACCAGGUCUUGACAUCCCGCUGCCCGGUGUAGAGAUACGCCUUUCCUUUCGGGGACAGCGGUGACAGGUGGUGCAUGGUUGUCGUCAGCUCGUGUCGUGAGAUGUUGGGUUAAGUCCCGCAACGAGCGCAACCCUUGAUAUUAGUUGCCAGCAUUCAGUUGGGCACUCUAAGGUGACUGCCGGUGACAAACCGGAGGAAGGUGGGGAUGACGUCAAAUCAUCAUGCCCCUUAUGACCUGGGCUACACACGUGUUACAAUGGACGGUACAAAGGGCUGCAAACCCGCGAGGGGGAGCCAAUCCCAGAAAACCGUUGUCAGUUCGGAUUGCAGGCUGCAACUCGCCUGCAUGAAGCCGGAAUAGCUAGUAAUCGUGGAUCAGCAUGCCACGGUGAAUACGUUCCCGGGCCUUGUACACACCGCCCGUCACACCACGAGAGUUUGUAACACCCGAAGUCGGUGAGGUAACCCCUCGUGGAGCCAGCCGCCGAAGUGACGGAAGG
RNAcentral lists this ribosomal RNA (1033 nucleotides) under bacterium BCL16. RNAcentral describes it as "bacterial SSU rRNA". It matches the Rfam family "Bacterial small subunit ribosomal RNA", at positions 441 to 1474 of the family's 1533-position model. The record is from RNAcentral.